RNAcentral lists this transfer RNA (67 nucleotides) under Cryolaternula elliptica. RNAcentral's name for it is "tRNA-Ile". Lineage: Eukaryota; Metazoa; Mollusca; Bivalvia; Laternulidae. The record is from RNAcentral.
UAUACUCCGCCGGUGUGAACGGGCUGUCUUGAUGUGGCAGAAAACGGGACACAAAUCCCGGGUAUAA